UCAAUAGACUAUGUAAGUACGGGACUAGAGACAGUAGGGGAGAUCCUUUGAUCACCUCUAAGGAAGUAUACUCUGACUCUAUAGGGUAGGAAAGAGCAAGAGAGCAGUACUCGUGUUAUAGUCCUUCUUGAAUAGCAGAAGGCGCUAACUUUAAGAGCAGCUAAGAAGUAGACUCAUCCCCGUGAUAAGGUGUUCUUAUAGCGUUAGUGCUGGGCACUUCUCUUUUAGCGCUUGCUGCUUGCGAUACGAUAAUAGCAGUGUUAUUGAGCGGGAGAGGGCAGAUCCACUUUACGGGAAGGGGAAAGUCGACUAAAGUAGGUUAGCUGAUGUCUACGGCCGCUAUUCCUUAUCCAAGCUUUUCUGUUAGUGCUGCUCCCGUUCCUGAAAGGAGCUUUUCUCUUUGUUCGUUUGGUGCUUCCUUAGCUGUUUGUUGCUUGCUGUUUAAGCCAAAUUGUCUUGUAGAUCAAGUCCAGAUCAAAUCAUCACUGAAUCCGCCGUGUGCUCAAUAACACAGCUAAACGCACUUAGCGAACCAGCGCACUCCAAUACAAGCUUCUAUUCUUUUGAAGGAAAGGUAGUUGACUUGCUUACUCCCUUACCUUACAGUGUCCAGUGGCUCUGCUCUAGUAAAGAUCCAAUCACUUUCUUUCGCUCCCCUUACUAUCUACUAUCUUUGCUUUGCUAAAAGAAUAGACUGAUUGAUUCUCUCCUUUACUUCGAGGAUAGUGCCCCAUACCAGCACUAAAGGAAAGGAGAACCUGAGAUAAGGUAUGGAAGCAGUCUUAUUAUUUCCACUUGAGUGGACUUACUUCGUAACCUCGUACAGUCUCGGCUCUAGUAAAGAGAGCUGGGGCUCACCUUACCCUACUNNNNNNNNNNNNNNNNNNNNNNNNNNNNNNNNNNNNNNNNNN
This 911-nucleotide long non-coding RNA is filed under the name Elaeis guineensis (African oil palm). RNAcentral describes it as "long non-coding RNA (EGUI_LNC065654)". The record is from RNAcentral. Lineage: Eukaryota; Viridiplantae; Streptophyta; Magnoliopsida; Arecales; Arecaceae.